UAGGCAAUUUGUGUCAUCAAGGCAACGCAGAAUGGUCUAGAAUAUUACACUUCAUUAACGAAGUAAGCCAUUUCAAUAGUGCAGGGCGAGACAUAGAGAGAAUUAACAUCAGAGUUUGCUUGAGAACAGUAAUCUGCAUUCUUCUUAGCGACUUAAAAUUGCGUAUGCUGGAGCUAAGAUGCUAAUGUGCGGGAUUUCCUUUAAAAUACGUUCAAACCUGAUCCGUAGUCAGUUCUUCUUUGGCUGGUUUACUUACUGUUUUGCCCUCUUUAUUAAGAAGGCUACACGACGUGCUGGAUGGUAAAGUCUGUACGAACACAAAACAGGAGAUUCCUAUCAAUUGUGUUUCAACCGGUCAAGGUCAAGCUUGAUUAAGCCCGACUUCCCUUGUAUUUCAAGAGAGCAGAAAAAAGCUCAAUUCAUCUUUUGUUUUUCUUGCUCGGUUUCAACUGGAUCACAAGUAUCAUAAACCACAAAGAGGAAGUUGCUGGAGGCAUCAUUGUUUGGAGGAAAACUGGGGUCUUUCAGGGUCAUCUGCGCAACUGAUCCCGACAAGGAAAGCCUGAGUCAUGGUCUCAGUUUGUGGAACUAACUAGAUUACCGAGCAAGGAGCGCGGGCUCAUUUCCUGAACAGCGGGUGAUAAUUGAGCCUAUCUGUGAAGAACACAGCGGUCAAACGUUGGGCAUGCGCGAGGGGAUCAGUUUGGGGCGUCCGCGCACCAUUUUCUCAAGAAGUGUUUUUAAGGAAUACUUGUGGAACAAUUGCUGUCUCGCAAAAUAAGCAAAAGAAAAUUGAAAAGUUCAUAGUAACCUGAAAGAGGAAACAUGAGUAGGGUGAAGCAAAACUCGAGGCUUUUCGAACACGAAGCUUAUUCAAGUACGAGUAUUCUGUUGAUUUACCAUUCUGGUUUGAGCUUUCCCAAAAAACUAUACUUUCUAAAACACCGUGACUUACUAGCUUGUGUGGUUAUUGCAAUUUUUGUGAGACAACUUGGUUCUGACAGCCUGGAAGCACGUUACCCAGCCACUACAACAAUCAAAAAUGCGCAGGCGUUUAACCGCUCUGUUUCCUAUUAAGACACUCGCCAAAGCAGCAAAUGAGAUAAAACGCAGUCUAUGACUGCAUGUAUUUACUGUUGUACAGUUGUUGAGUAAUGUGGUAGGAACGCAAUGUAAUUUAAAAUGCAAAGGGGUCAAUGAACAGCACUUUUCGAUGCAAAAACUGCGACAAAAGGAGGACUUGGUUGGAACAGAGUUUGUACACUGGUCAACUGACAAACCGAGG
Molecule: long non-coding RNA, 1285 nt
Organism: Pocillopora verrucosa
Lineage: Eukaryota; Metazoa; Cnidaria; Anthozoa; Scleractinia; Pocilloporidae
Source: RefSeq, a predicted model, not a curated record